GAUGAACGCUGGCGGCGUGCCUAAUACAUGCAAGUCGAGCGAACAGACGAGGAGCUUGCUCCUCUGACGUUAGCGGCGGACGGGUGAGUAACACGUGGAUAACCUACCUAUAAGACUGGGAUAACUUCGGGAAACCGGAGCUAAUACCGGAUAAUAUAUUGAACCGCAUGGUUCAAUAGUUAAAGACGGUUUUGCUGUCACUUAUAGAUGGAUCCGCGCCGCAUUAGCUAGUUGGUAAGGUAACGGCUUACCAAGGCAACGAUGCGUAGCCGACCUGAGAGGGGGAUCGGCCACACUGGAACUGAGACACGGUCCAGACUCCUACGGGGGGCAGCAGUAGGGAAUCUUCCGCAAUGGGCGAAAGCCUGACGGAGCAACGCGGCGUGAGUGAUGAAGGUCUUCGGAUCGUAAAACUCUGUUAUUAGGGAAGAACAAAUGUGUAAGUAACUAUGCACGUCUGGACGGUACCUAAUCAGAAAGCCACGGCUAACUACGU
RNAcentral lists this ribosomal RNA (496 nucleotides) under uncultured bacterium. RNAcentral's name for it is "partial 16S ribosomal RNA". It matches the Rfam family "Bacterial small subunit ribosomal RNA", at positions 28 to 506 of the family's 1533-position model. The record is from RNAcentral.